Molecule: long non-coding RNA, 1657 nt
Organism: Sinocyclocheilus anshuiensis
Lineage: Eukaryota; Metazoa; Chordata; Actinopteri; Cypriniformes; Cyprinidae
Source: Ensembl
CAAUAAUGCGUUUAGCGACAUCACGAGGUAGCUCCGAUAGAAGCAGCAAAAACAUAGUCUCACACAAGCGCUUGAUUUCACCUCAGCUGAAACUCAUAAGUGCUUUUACAUAUUUAACUUCAUUACUGUGCUAUUUUGAGGGCUUACGAACAAAAUAGACGACUUAAUACACCAAAGAAAUUCUCAUCUCUGAGCUGGGAUCGGCUGUGCCCUCAUCAAGCUUACCUGAGGGCCUCCCGGUGUCCAGUUUGGCCCUUCUGAUCCUGGUGCUCAUUCCCUGCGUCCUUCUGCUCCUGCUGCUCAACUGCCUGUUCGUGGGAUACAAGCUGUUCCGCAUGGCCCAGAGGAAGAGGGACCGCUUCGGAAAGACCAACUACGUCUCGGUCUCGGAGCCGAUGCUGGCGCCUCCCAUAACCUCGUCCCUGACCUCCUCAGCGGAGAGAAGGGCCACCGGGCAGCGCGCCAGGUUUAUUCGCCCGAAUAGGGCCACUUACGCCGGGUCCGAGUCUCUGCGUGUGCCGAACGUGAGGACGAGCGCCCCGGUUCUGCUGCAGUCCAGUGAUUCGGACACGGAGCGGGUCAACACGGUGCCACCGAACUCACCAGCACUGCAUGUGACUCCCAAUGGGUUCUCAAUGCGGAUGACUUCCAUGCGAAGCAGCACCAUGGAGCUGGAGAGCGCUCCUCCGGAUAAGAUCCAUGUGGAAUGCGAGUCUGCCAGCAUCAUCCAGUUGGAGAACUUCUGCUAUGUGGCGUCAUCAAGCCCCUCGGCUAGGGGUUCAGGACUGGACAGUGACUUUGGAGCCAGUGCAGGUGUAUCUCUGCGUAUCCUUUCUAUGGACAGUGAUGGUUUCCCGGGCUCUGCCUGGGCGUCCGUUCUGGAAUGGGAUUACUACGACCCAAGUUACGUCACUCAGAACCACGUCCCAAAGCACAGACCUCACGCACCCCCCAUCACUACCAAACAGUACUGGGUCUAGAGCCCGAGCUGCAUAGGGAGAGCCUGAUGAACACCAGAACAAGACUCGAUUCAGCCAUUCUCAUUCUAGAACUUCAGUUGAGCCGAGUCUAGAUUUCUGUCUGGGUUUAGUGCACUUAAUGUUCACAUGCGGUUUUAACUGCAACACAUCACUUGUUGUCAAAUCACACACACAAACACACACACACACACGAUUAAAAGUCUUCACGAUCACAGGUUUGUUCUGUUUACAAAAAUGCGUUUAUAUAAUCACUCCACUAUUGCUUUCACUUUAGAUCACUUUGAUUGACACGGCCUUUGUUUUACACGUAGAGUUUCUCACUGCAUUGUAAUUUUUAUGUUUGCACAUGAUUCUCAGCAUGGAGUUACUGAGGUCUACAGAAGCGGCUGUUUGAGUACUUCACAAUUUCGACAUGCUACACAUUCUUGUAUUUGUAAAGAAAAAAGUAUUUAGAUUGUGCCUGAAUUGGAUAAAGUUUUAAAAUACAGGGUGUCAUUUAAUUGCUGUGGACAUCUAAUGCAAUUAUAAAAAAAAUAAAACUGUUUCAAAAUAAUCGUAUUCCUUAAGAUCACUGUUUUCAUAUAUGCAUUAGGGGUUUUUAUAGCAGAAUAGCUGAUCUUGAGAUUUAAGUCUCAACUCUAUAAAACCAUGCAAGCUGAUAAAGACCAACUAGUUUC